GACGAACGCUGGCGGCGUGCUUAACACAUGCAAGUCGAACGGUAAGGCCCUUCGGGGUACACGAGUGGCGAACGGGUGAGUAACACGUGGUGAUCUGCCCUGCACUUCGGGAUAAGCCUGGGAAACUGGGUCUAAUACCGGAUAGGACCCAUGGACUUUCACGGUUUGUGGUGGAAAGCUUUUGCGGUGUGGGAUGGGCCCGCGGCCUAUCAGCUUGUUGGUGGGGUAAUGGCCUACCAAGGCGACGACGGGUAGCCGGCCUGAGAGGGUGUCCGGCCACACUGGGACUGAGAUACGGCCCAGACUCCUACGGGAGGCAGCAGUGGGAAUAUUGCACAAUGGGCGCAAGCCUGAUGCAGCGACGCCGCGUGAGGGAUGACGG
RNAcentral lists this ribosomal RNA (382 nucleotides) under uncultured bacterium. Its description in RNAcentral is "bacterial SSU rRNA". It matches the Rfam family "Bacterial small subunit ribosomal RNA", at positions 28 to 414 of the family's 1533-position model. The record is from RNAcentral.